AUCGCUUCUCGGCCUUUUGGCUAAGAUCAAGUGUAGUAUUCAGAUGCUUAUUGAUGUAAGAUAGAGUUACACCCCAA
RNAcentral lists this small nuclear RNA (77 nucleotides) under Otolemur garnettii (small-eared galago). RNAcentral describes it as "U2 spliceosomal RNA". Lineage: Eukaryota; Metazoa; Chordata; Mammalia; Primates; Galagidae. The record is from Rfam by way of RNAcentral.